This 253-nucleotide ribosomal RNA is filed under the name uncultured bacterium. Its description in RNAcentral is "partial 16S ribosomal RNA". It matches the Rfam family "Bacterial small subunit ribosomal RNA", at positions 524 to 776 of the family's 1533-position model. The record is from RNAcentral.
UACGUAGGUGGCAAGCGUUGUCCGGAUUUACUGGGCGUAAAGGGCGUGCAGGCGGUCUGUUAAGUGCAGGGUGAAAGCUCCCGGCUCAACUGGGAGAGGUCCUUGCAUACUGUCGGACUUGAGGGGGGUAGAGGAAAGUGGAAUUCCCGGUGUAGUGGUGAUAUGCGUAGAUAUCGGGAGGAACACCUGUGGCGAAGGCGGCUUUCUGGGCCCUACCUGACGCUGAGACGCGAAAGCGUGGGGAGCGAACCGG